Molecule: ribosomal RNA, 1361 nt
Filed under: uncultured bacterium
Lineage: Bacteria
Description: bacterial SSU rRNA
Rfam family: Bacterial small subunit ribosomal RNA
Source: RNAcentral
AUUGAACGCUGGCGGCAGGCCUAACACAUGCAAGUCGAGCGGUAGCACAGAGAGCUUGCUCUCGGGUGACGAGCGGCGGACGGGUGAGUAAUGUCUGGGAAACUGCCUGAUGGAGGGGGAUAACUACUGGAAACGGUAGCUAAUACCGCAUAACGUCGCAAGACCAAAGUGGGGGACCUUCGGGCCUCAUGCCAUCAGAUGUGCCCAGAUGGGAUUAGCUAGUAGGUGGGGUAACGGCUCACCUAGGCGACGAUCCCUAGCUGGUCUGAGAGGAUGACCAGCCACACUGGAACUGAGACACGGUCCAGACUCCUACGGGAGGCAGCAGUGGGGAAUAUUGCACAAUGGGCGCAAGCCUGAUGCAGCCAUGCCGCGUGUGUGAAGAAGGCCUUCGGGUUGUAAUGCACUUUCAGCGGGGAGGAAGGCGGUGAGGUUAAUAACCUCAUCGAUUGACGUUACCCGCAGAAGAAGCACCGGCUAACUCCGUGCCAGCAGCCGCGGUAAUACGGAGGGUGCAAGCGUUAAUCGGAAUUACUGGGCGUAAAGCGCACGCAGGCGGUCUGUCAAGUCGGAUGUGAAAUCCCCGGGCUCAACCUGGGAACUGCAUUCGAAACUGGCAGGCUAGAGUCUUGUAGAGGGGGGUAGAAUUCCAGGUGUAGCGGUGAAAUGCGUAGAGAUCUGGAGGAAUACCGGUGGCGAAGGCGGCCCCCUGGACAAAGACUGACGCUCAGGUGCGAAAGCGUGGGGAGCAAACAGGAUUAGAUACCCUGGUAGUCCACGCCGUAAACGAUGUCGAUUUGGAGGUUGUGCCCUUGAGGCGUGGCUUCCGGAGCUAACGCGUUAAAUCGACCGCCUGGGGAGUACGGCCGCAAGGUUAAAACUCAAAUGAAUUGACGGGGGCCCGCACAAGCGGUGGAGCAUGUGGUUUAAUUCGAUGCAACGCGAAGAACCUUACCUGGUCUUGACAUCCACAGAACUUUCCAGAGAUGGAUUGGUGCCUUCGGGAACUGUGAGACAGGUGCUGCAUGGCUGUCGUCAGCUCGUGUUGUGAAAUGUUGGGUUAAGUCCCGCAACGAGCGCAACCCUUAUCCUUUGUUGCCAGCGGUCCGGCCGGGAACUCAAAGGAGACUGCCAGUGAUAAACUGGAGGAAGGUGGGGAUGACGUCAAGUCAUCAUGGCCCUUACGACCAGGGCUACACACGUGCUACAAUGGCAUAUACAAAGAGAAGCGACCUCGCGAGAGCAAGCGGACCUCAUAAAGUAUGUCGUAGUCCGGAUUGGAGUCUGCAACUCGACUCCAUGAAGUCGGAAUCGCUAGUAAUCGUAGAUCAGAAUGCUACGGUGAAUACGUUCCCGGGCCU